This is a long non-coding RNA of Alligator mississippiensis (American alligator), 2767 nucleotides long. RefSeq lists it as uncharacterized. NCBI's taxonomy places the organism in Eukaryota, Metazoa, Chordata, Crocodylia, Alligatoridae. The transcript is spliced from 3 exons. The record is from RefSeq and is a predicted model, not a curated record.
GUCACUGGGUUACUCCAAAGCAUAGGUCAGGCAAGAACUCUCAUGCAGUUUCACUUCAGGCACCGGCACUGUCCUGCCACGCUGACACACACAGCAGGCCUGGAGCAGGUUAGGUCUAGUUGAUCUGUGGGAGCAGCCUGAGCAGGAUUGUGGUGGGCUUGUAUUUUGGUAUCAACAGACAGAACAACUGAUCACCACCCACAUUUUGUAUUUGAAGAUUCCUCCUCAGGCUCCUCUUCCUUCAAACCAUUUUUUCAAUGGAUCAAGAUCAUUUUGAAUCAUAACCCUGUCCUCUUACCAUGUCUUCUACUUCACGCAGCUUGGUGUCAUCUAAAAACUUAAGUUUACACUCAAUUUCUUACUCCAAGUCAUUAAUGAAGAUAUUGAAUAUAACUGGAUCCCUGGAAGAUCCCACUGGAUAUAUAUAUUCUCUGUCACAUUGAGCUACCAAGGAUCAUGCUUUGAGCAGGAUAAUUUGAUCAGCUAUCUACCCAUCUUAAGUAGUUUAAUCUAGACUGCAUUUUGUUAGUUUCCCCAUGACAUUUUCAUAAGUACGCUAUGUCAAAAGCCUUACUAAACUAAGUUAUAUUGUAUACACCGCUCCCUGAUAUCCACAAAGCCUGUCACAUUGUCAUAAAAGCAAAUCUGAUAAAUCCAUGCCAGGUGUUUUUAUCAUAUUAUCCUCUGGGGACAAAUCUCACCCCCCGCCCCCUCCGCUCCCACCUUUAAGCAGGUAAAAAGGAACUUCCCACCUUACAGUAGAAAGAUACUGGAGGACUGGAGAGAAGUAAGGUAGAAGCAGCCUAGCUCUGAGGGUCAGCAAAAUUAAUACUGCCAUGUCCAGGUUUCUGCUCCUCUGCUGUCUAUGCUCUUUAGCCAAAUGACUCUCUCAUACAAACUACAUAGAACUGAAAGGGGAAAGGGUCUUUGUGAUGAGAACACUUUGUGACACAUGGGUCCAAAUCUCCUCUAGCUUGGGGUUGGGGGGGAUCUUGAUCCUGAGCCUCCUACUCCCCAGGCAAUUGUUCUAACUAUCUUGUUAUUGGGUUAAAAGCCAGGAAGGAGGCUCUUCUUUGUCCCCUAGUUGUGGUUUUCUUGUGACUAAUUGGCUCAGGAAUGGCUGGGACUGCCUCCGAGGCAGGUGUUUGUAAACAAGCCUUCAUUGAUUUCUCAGCUUCUCAGAGCAAGGCUGGGAAAGCAAAAGAGGAAGACACAGCCAAGAGCAGUUUGCAAAAAGCCCCUAGAUUCAGAUUUGUUCAUCCAAACUGCAUCCGAACACAUCUGUAAACAUCAGGGUCUGAGAACCAAAAAAAUAAAAAAAUAAAGCUACAGUUGCAGUGAAGGUCAUUGACCACCAGUCAUUCACCCAGUUCUCAUGAAAACACGCCCAGUGUGAUAUGACUGACAUACAACUGACUAUAUCUUGACUUCGACCUUGCCUAUGUUUUAGGCUGUCACUAGAUGGUAGUGUAGCUAGUCAUUUCAUACUACCAUGCUCUGACAAAAUAGGAAUGUCCCAGCCACCAGUUUAGUCUCAAAAAUGGCAAUGCACAUAGAUGUAUAGAGAAGAGCUCUUUGUGUUAAACUGCAGGGGAACAUGAUUGAUAAAUAUCUCUUAAACUGCUCCUCUGACAUCGCCCACUGACCUUACACAGGAGGCUCAAUCAACAUCCCAACUCUCUGAGCAGUUUUAAACAGCUGCCUUACAACAUCAAUCCUCUAGAAAAAUGUUUCUUUUUUGCUUUCAAAGUAGGAUUUCACCCAGUCGCAUCUGCCCCUGUUGAGAUUCAGCAUGCUGUUUUUUCAGAAAAGCUUCAAAGCCUCAUCUUCUGUGAGAGAUGCAAAGCCAACAACAAGUGCCUUAUCUCAUUAGAGCUGGAAGCUUCCCAAAAACCCCACACUCCCCCUUGGCUCUGGAAGUGAUGGAAACCAUGGAUUCUUUACUAUCCAAUAUGUAGAAACACUAUUUUGGAGGUGUUUAUGGCUCCCUAUACAAUCAUAGAGUACCUGGUUCUUUAUAUAAACUAUUGAAAACUUCUCAUACAUUUUAAACUCUCUAAAAUACCCUUAAACUUAUUUUCAUAUACAGUAAGAUAAGCAGCACUUACCAAAUACCAGGUGGUGACAAUAUGCCACAGGGUAUAAAGUUUUAUAACUACUUAGUUGAGACACUUGGAAAAUAGUCAUGGUUUUGCUACCCAUCAAUGAUGUGGGUAUACUAAACUUAUGCCAAUGACAUUUCUGUACCAUAACAGUUGUAUAUAUGUACACACACAUUAGUGGGGGUUCUCAUAUACAUAUAUACACACACUUGGUUAUGACAAUGUCAAGAUGGAAGUACCUAGAUAUGUGUGUGUUAUGAACUUUGCAAAACUGAAACAGAAUUCAGUAAAGGGUCAAAAUCCAAUCCAGCUCUUUCAUCUACAUGGCUCGAGUGUGAACCAUGUGAGCCCAGUAACUCAAUUGUGAACCAUGAACCAAAGCCUGGGCACAUAAAUUCCCAUUUUCUCUGAAACAUUUCUAUGCAGUACUAUAGCUGUCAAGUAAGUCUGCCAGGAAGGAAGCCACAAGAACACUUCUAUAACUGCAAGAGUGACCAGCUCACAUUGAAGCUGUUCACACUUCUGAAGCACUUCAAGUGUACAAUGACCAAGCUUAAAGCCUUGAAGGUGACCUGCAAGGGGAGAAAAACAACUGUGUGCUCUUUUGAACCCGAAAGCUUGCUUAAUAACUAUUCUCCAACCAUUUGGGUUGGUCUAAUAAAAGA